This 301-nucleotide ribosomal RNA is filed under the name uncultured bacterium. Its description in RNAcentral is "partial 16S ribosomal RNA". It matches the Rfam family "Bacterial small subunit ribosomal RNA", at positions 509 to 807 of the family's 1533-position model. The record is from RNAcentral.
CAGCAGCCGCGGGAAAACGGAGGGUGCAAGCGUUGUCCAGAUUUAUUGGGUUUAAAGGGUGCGUAGGCGGCUAUUUAAGUCAGCGGUGAAAGACUCCGGCUCAACCGGAGCAGUGCCAUUGAUACUGGAUAGCUUGAGUGUUGGAGGGGUACAUGGAAUUGAUGGUGUAGCGGUGAAAUGCAUAGAUACCAUCAGGAACACCGAUAGCGAAGGCAUUGUACUGGCCAACAACUGACGCUGAGGCACGAAAGCAUGGGGAGCGAACAGGAUUAGAUACCCCCGUAGUCCCUGUCUCUUAUAC